CAAGGUCCCGCUGAUGGUUCCCGGCCUGAGCCCCAGCGCCCACGAAACCGCCCCUACUUCCAGCGGAGACGGCAGCAGGCCCCUGGCCCCCAGCAGGCCCCUGGCCCCCGGCAGCCCGCAGCCCCUGAGCCCCUGUCAACAGUGGGGACCCCACCACCACCAUCCUGGAGUGAUUCCAACUCAACUCAGAGGACACCCAGAGCUGCCAUCUGGUAUCUGCCAGUUUUUCCAAAUGACCUGUACCCUACCCAGUACCCUGCUCCCCCUUUCCCAUAAUUCAUGACAUCAAAACACCAGCUUUUCACCUUUUCCUUGAGACUCAGGAGGACCAAAGCAGCAGCCUUUUGCUUUUUCUUUUUUCUUCCCUCCCCUUAUCAAGGGUUGAAGGAAGGGAGCCAUCCUUACUGUUCAGAGACAGCAACUCCCUCCCGUAACUCAGGCUGAGAAGGAACCAGCCAGCUCUUACCUCCUCCUGGUUGCUUUUCUUGCCCCCACCCCAAGUUUAUUUUUGUUUUCCCCCGGCCCCCUACCUCUGAAGCCAUUUUAUGAUCUGUCAUGUGCCACCUGAGCCUCCAGUAAAAACAAAAACAG
Molecule: long non-coding RNA, 591 nt
Filed under: Homo sapiens (human)
Lineage: Eukaryota; Metazoa; Chordata; Mammalia; Primates; Hominidae
Description: HSALNT0236696
Source: RNAcentral